This is a long non-coding RNA of Mobula hypostoma (lesser devil ray), 1859 nucleotides long. RefSeq lists it as uncharacterized. NCBI's taxonomy places the organism in Eukaryota, Metazoa, Chordata, Chondrichthyes, Myliobatiformes, Myliobatidae. The transcript has 5 exons. The record is from RefSeq and is a predicted model, not a curated record.
CACAUUAACCAUGAUGCCAAAUUAAGCUAGUUUCUUCUGCCUGAACAUGGUCCACAUCAUUCCAUUCUCCGCCUAUUCAUCUAACUAUCUAAAAGCCCCUUAUGAUUAAUCCGAAGAUCCAGUAACAAAUAGGUAACCUUUGAAUAAUUAGUGAAGAUAAUUUUUAUUUACUGGCAUGGGACUUAAAACAACUGAUGAACAACCUUGAUAAGUUGCUGAUGAUAUGGUGAAAGCAGAGAAGUUACAUAAUUUUAACCUUGUGGUGAUGACGGUGACGUGCUUCUAAUUUGUGGAUGGUGUUUGGUGUGAAGAAACUAGGUAGUGGCACCUGCUGCCCUUGCCUUCCUAGACAAAAGAGGUCAAGAAUUUAGGAGGUGCCAGCAAAGAAACCUUGGCCUUUUACAGAUAGUGGAACAGGUGUUAUAGUCAUGGACAGAAUAAGCCUUUGCAUAUUGUAAUCACUGUGCUUUGCUUGCUAGUGGGAAUCCAGUAAUUGAAGUGUUAAUCACCAGAAUCAAAUCAAACAGCAAGAUAUGUCCUGCUGCAGCAUAUAAAAAUUACGCUGUUUCCCUGACAGAGGAUAAUGAGUCAUCAGAAUUGCUACAGGAAAGUGAAGUUAUGCAACCCUGACCAGUUUGUGCCGUAGAUCAGUGGAAUUUUUAGAAGAUGCUAAAAUAUUCCCAACCCUAUACAACUUCUGUGAUAGUUCCAUUGAUCAGUGGCCUCAUAUCUGCGAGUCAGGGCCCCAGUGUUUGCAAGUUGGUGGCCUGAUGUCUGCAUAUCUGCAUGCCAGCGGCCUGAUGUCUGUGAGUCUGCGAGCUAGUGGUCUAAUGCUGCAGUAAAAGUCUGGGACUCACAUGAGUGUUGUGACUGUGAAUGAAGUCACCGGAGAGACAGUGAAGCUGGUGGAUAUAGAAGUCUUUAUUCGGCAAAAUGAACAGCAGGCACCAUAUUUGUGAUACUUUUGGAAGAAGAGGCCUGUCGGACCCAAUAUUCCAUCACGUUUUUAUCUGCUAAAGGUCAAAGACAAAGAAACAGAUGCAUUAUGGGAAUGGAGCAAGAAGCGUGAACCUGGAUCAUAGCCUGGGAAAUCUGAAGCCUGGAUAAAGCUGGGAGCACUGGGGUGUUUAGAGCCUGCGAUUUACAGUUUGGAGAUUGUUUGAGUGAUCCAGUGCUUUGCCAUCUCCAAGAAGAUUCUGGGAAGCCAGCACAUACUAGGAUGGUCUCAAUGCAAAGAAACUUCAAGACGGCACAGGAGCUGAUCUUUGAUACUAUUCCACUGUUUAAAAUGUCCAUUAAUCGCCAAUUAAAGAGUUGACGAAGAUUGUGACAUCGAGGCGAAUGCGGAAGGCGGGCGAGAGCUUCAGCACUGACUGCCUUCCUUUGUAUCGCUGCUGGAGAAGGAGUCUGUGAGUGGCCUACAGCUGUGUGGUUCACUGUCUCUCUGAGGGUAGGCCUCGCUGCCUCGUGUGGUGUCUUUUGAUAAUCAUCAGCAAUACUGUGAUUCUGCUUUUAUGGAUUGGACUAUUGUGUUUAUGGACAGUGGACUUUUUUAGACUUCCGGUUUUUGUAUUCUGUGUUUUUUUGUUGCCCGUUCCUUUUCCGUUUUGUUGUGCAAGGGGAGGAUGUUUGGGGGUUGAUGCUCUGGUAGUUUUUUGUGCGGAGGAGGCUGAUGUUCCCUUUCUAUUUUGUGUGAGAGGAGUGAGGUUUUGGGGUGUUGAUGAUUGGGAUGCCGCUCUUUUUGGUGUGGAUCUGAUGUUUCUCUCUGAAUGACUUUCAUGUUCUUUUUUUGUUUCAUGGCUAUCUGGCAAAUAUGAAUUUCAGAGUUGUAUGUGAUACAUUAUAAAAAUAAAUGAACC